Molecule: non-coding RNA, 21 nt
Filed under: Rattus norvegicus (Norway rat)
Lineage: Eukaryota; Metazoa; Chordata; Mammalia; Rodentia; Muridae
Source: RNAcentral
CUUGCUAUAGGACCCUUUUAA